This 679-nucleotide long non-coding RNA is filed under the name Amborella trichopoda. Its description in RNAcentral is "long non-coding RNA (ATRI_LNC000680)". Lineage: Eukaryota; Viridiplantae; Streptophyta; Magnoliopsida; Amborellales; Amborellaceae. The record is from RNAcentral.
UCCUUAUCGGCUCACAGUAUUCUCGUUCACGUCAGGUCCUUAUUGGCUCACGACAAAAAGAGCUUUGGAUUUGAUCCAUGUAUUGCGUAUGUAUGAUUUCAUCUCUUCCCUUCCCUUAUAAUAUAAACUUAACCAACACCCAGUCUUCUCCCAUAGGCUCAGAAGAGGGUCAAUACGACCCCUUUGAGAAAGAACAAAAAAUGCAACCAUCAGAGCCAUUGCGGGUGAUUGCGACUUCGAAAGCCUAAGGAACAAACUUGCUACUUUUGAUUAUGGUUGCAUCUCUUCCCUUCCCUUAUAAUAUAAACUUAACCAACUGCAACUGAUUCACACGUAAAAUUAGAUCUCCAUCAAUACGCUCAUAUGACAUAACAUAUUAGGAGUCGAGACAGUUCCUUUCAUUCGAAGGUGGGUUGGUAUUGAAUGAUUUCUUUGGUGGCCCUCUGAUUGUCCCAGACAAAGGAUAUCCCGGUUCCCCAUUUACCAACCAAUCAUUGCAAGGUAGGUACUAAUGGAUCAAUGGAAACCAGUGAAACACUAGUCAAGAUCGAGAAAUUGACUAGUUUCAUUGGUCAGCCUUUCCCCAUCCCGCCCCUUCCCUUACAUAUAGAACUUAUGAAUAUAAUCUUAGGCAACUCCUUGAUGCUCCAGGUACGGGUCGAACCAAUUUAUCUAUUGC